AACUCUUUGUUGUACUGGUUUUUUAUUUUUUUUUAAGAAUUUUAUCAAAACUUUUAACGUCAUGUGCUGACUACUAUUAUACAACUUUUACAAAUACAAAAUAUCAUUUGUCACAACUUAUUUAAGCCACUGACCGGUUUCUACUGUACAC
This is a long non-coding RNA of Thalassophryne amazonica, 151 nucleotides long. RefSeq lists it as uncharacterized. The record is from RefSeq and is a predicted model, not a curated record. NCBI's taxonomy places the organism in Eukaryota, Metazoa, Chordata, Actinopteri, Batrachoidiformes, Batrachoididae. The transcript is spliced from 4 exons.